UACAAAUUGAUGUUAGUGGACAGUUUUGAUAGCUGCUGUUUCCAGUUCAAGUUCCAGUUUUAAUGGAAAACCUUUAAUGGACAGAGAAAAAUGCCAUUUACUGGAUUGACUUCAACACCUGUUGCCUUUUAACAAUGGCAUAGGAUAGGUAUGGUGGUCAUAAAAGAGAUUUAAAUGGAAUGAAACUUGUGCAGAAGAAAUCAAGGAAAACAAUUUUGAACUGCUGUUACUUAAUAGCUGUUAGAGGCGAUCCAGUUCUUCAUCAAUGGUAUACGCUGGGACAAUUGCUGUUGAAAAACCACAAGCCGUACUAUCUGCAAAUAUUAUGGUGGACAUCAAAAAGCUUCCUUCAUCACUGAUAUCUCUGCAUUUUCUUAACAAUGGAUAUCCCCCCAAUAGUUGCUCCUACUCCUCACUUUCCUCUUUCAUUCAACAUAAAGCAGACUCAUUACUCCUCAAUGUCUCACCAAGGUUCGUUAACUUCAUUAAUAGUGUUAUUGUUUCAAUAAAUUUGUUUAUUGGUUUUUAUCCUCUUACUAUAUAAUUAUAUCA
Molecule: long non-coding RNA, 552 nt
Organism: Sitophilus oryzae (rice weevil)
Lineage: Eukaryota; Metazoa; Arthropoda; Insecta; Coleoptera; Curculionidae
Exons: 4
Source: RefSeq, a predicted model, not a curated record